AUAUGACAGGCGUAUCAAAAAUAUAAUAAAAGAAAAAUCAGAAUUGUAUUGUAUUUUCCACCUAUAGGUUUUCUCGAUCCAAUUAAAACAAAAUUUGCUAUCAAUUUUUUUUUACACAAGUUCCAUCUGCGAAUACUCUACAUAUGCAAUAUAUAGUUUCUAGCUUCUAUAGUUUCCGAAAAUCGAAGUGUUCUCUAUUUUUGGGCAAAAUCAACUUAUAGCCUACUAAAGUAUUGGAGUAAAUUGUAGAAGUCAAGUGGAUUACAGCAGCAUAGCAAAAACACGUGUUUUGAAUUUGUGAUAUAUUUAAGUUUAAGAUUUACGGAUACUCAUUUCAGUGAAUCAAAUUACCAUAUUGGUUUGGGGCUAUUAUCGUCAUUGAAGCCAGACACUUGGUAUAUCUACUAACCUUGUCUGAUAAUGAGUUAAGAUAUACAUGUAUGUUACUAGCGUUAUACCGUACCGUUUGGUCUCAGAAAUUAAACUCUAAAACUUG
Drosophila mojavensis is the source of this 496-nucleotide long non-coding RNA. RefSeq lists it as uncharacterized. The record is from RefSeq and is a predicted model, not a curated record. The transcript is spliced from 2 exons. Lineage: Eukaryota; Metazoa; Arthropoda; Insecta; Diptera; Drosophilidae.